AUGGAGAAAUGCUUGAACUUUGGCAUUCUUGAGUCUCACAAGAGCUGGCAAGCCACACAGUUUGAUCAAUUGGGGCCUCCAGACAAAGCUCUCUUUUCUGUUGCUACAUAUUUGCAAGUGCAGUACUGUUACCUCUUCACGACUCCACUGGACAUUGCCAGGCUUAUCUCGAAGAAGAAGGCUGCUGAUUAUGUUAUUGCGCAGGUUAUGGUAACUUUGAUUGCACGCUUGUUCUUUACGCGUUUAAGGACGAGCAGGGUCGUGAUACUUUCUGGCACUCGAGUGCUCAUAUCCUUGGCGAGUCUUUAGAACAAGCGUAUGGUUGCAAGCUCUGCAUUGGUCCCUGCACGACAAGGGGAGAGGGUUUUUACUAUGAUGCUUUUUACGAAGACGGGAGAACACUCAACGAAGAGAACUUCCCGGCUGUGCAAAGCCAAGUGACGAAAGCCGUUCAGGAGAGUCAGCCGUUUGAACGGAUACAAGUGACACGGCAACAGGCUCUGGAGAUUUUUUCUGAUAACCAGUUCAAAGUAGAAAUAAUCAAUGAUUUACCCGAGGAUGCUGUGAUAACAGUUUACAGAUGCGGUCCACUUGUUGAUUUGUGUCGUGGACCUCAUAUUCCCAACACAUCCUACGUGAAAGCUUUUUCUUGCUUGAAGGCCUCCGCGUGCUAUUGGAAAGGUAAGCAAGAACGGGAAAGCCUUCAACGCGUUUAGGGAAUAUCAUAUCCUGACAAUCAGUCCCUGAAGGCUUAUAUGACCAAGUAUGAAGAAGCCAAGAAACGGGACCAUCGGUUACUUGGGAAAAACCAGCAGCUCUUUUUCUUCCACGAAUUGAGCCCAGGGAGUGCAUUCUUUCUUCCAAAGGGCACCAUUGUGUACAACAAACUGUUGCAAUUUAUCCGUUCAGAAUACAGGAAGCGAGGUUUUGACGAGGUAGUCACUCCGAACAUUUAUAACAUGAAACUUUGGGAACAAUCCGGACAUGCGGCUCAUUAUAAAGAAAACAUGUUCGUCUUCGAGAUAGAAAAGCAAGAAUUUGGUCUGAAGCCCAUGAAUUGUCCCGGCCAUUGUUUACUUUUCCAACACAGGGUCCGUUCAUAUCGAGAGCUGCCUCUGAGAAUAGCUGAUUUUGGGGUUUUACACCGAAACGAAUUAAGUGGUGCACUCACGGGGCUGACACGAGUCAGGCGUUUCUCACAGGAUGAUGCUCAUAUCUUUUGCAUGGAAUCUCAAGUUUAUGAUGAAGUCAAGGGAUGUCUGGACUUUCUCGAUUACGUGUACACCAUUUUCGGCUUUACUUAUGAUCUCAAAUUGUCCACGCGGCCAGAAAACUUUCUUGGCGAGAGCUCCUUGUGGGAUCGGGCGGAAGGGGCAUUGGCGGACGCUCUGAAUGCGCAUGCAAAGCCCUGGCAGAUGAACGAAGGAGAUGGUGCUUUUUACGGGCCUAAGAUUGACAUCCAAGUAUCUGAUGCACUCAACAGAAAGUUCCAGUGCGCAACAAUUCAGCUUGACUUCCAAUCACCGAUUCGGUUCAAGCUGAGCUACUCGGCCGAAGACGAAGCAAAGAUCGAGCGGCCUGUCAUCAUACACCGGGCGAUAUUGGGGUCCAUUGAACGGAUGUUCGCAAUACUGUUGGAAGACAAUGCUGGAAAAUGGCCCUUCUGGCUCAGCCCGCGCCAAGCUAUCGUUCUCACAAUCUCGGAGAAGUUUAAAGACUACGCCGAGGAGGUUCGUGCCAAACUUCACGCUGCUGGUUUCGAGGUAGACGUCGAUGUCUCGGACAGAAAGGUGGACAAGAAGGUCCGAGAAGCUCAAAUGGCACACUACAACUAUCUCUUGGUGGUGGGCGCUAUGGAGCAAGAGAAAGGAGAAGUGAACGUUCGCACGAGAGGCAGCAAAGGCCAGCGCGGUUGCAUCACGAUCGAGAAAUUAAUUGCCGAGUUCCAGGACUUGGUAGCAAACUACACACGAUGAGAGAACUAAGAAAAGGCCAACCUUUUACAUUACCCUCGUUGGAUUGGAUACAAUCGGCUAUGGAGUUUUGGAAACACCAUCACCAGAGAUGAAGACAAGUUCUAUAGGUUCAUGUGAGUCUCUUCUACCUCAGUCUCUUCCAAGAGGACUUUGCUCCAAGCGACACGAUGCUGGCCAUUGAUUCACUUGAUUGUUUCCUGGAGCGUCUGCGUAGAUCCUCUUCGUGAACUGAUCCACUUUGAUGAAGUCCGCGAGGAGAGUUUUCUGGCCAGCUGAUUUGCGGGAGGGAUCCUUGAUGACGGGGAAUGUGAGCGAAUCUGUGGAUUGGCUUCCCAGGCUAUCCAGUGCCUAGGUGGGAAUGGCUGUGUAAACGAGUAUCCCACUGGAAGGCUGCUAAGGGAUGCAAAACUAUAUGAAAUUGGAGCUGGAACAAGUGAAAUAAGGAGAAUGUUAAUUGGAAGGCAACUCUACAAAGAUGAAUAAAUCAAAAUCAAAUGCCUUUUACCUUUA
RNA transcript from Selaginella moellendorffii, 2486 nucleotides. It is a transcript of the gene named threonine--tRNA ligase, mitochondrial 1, with no coding region annotated. The transcript is spliced from 21 exons. Lineage: Eukaryota; Viridiplantae; Streptophyta; Lycopodiopsida; Selaginellales; Selaginellaceae. The record is from RefSeq and is a predicted model, not a curated record.